UACGGAGGGUGCAAGCGUUAUCCGGAUUCACUGGGGUUAAAGGGUGCGUAGGUGGAUUGGUAAGUCAGUGGUGAAAUCUCCGGGCUUAACCCGGAAACUGCCAUUGAUACUAUCAGUCUUGAAUACCGUGGAGGUCAGUAGAAUAUGUCAUGUAGCGGUGAAAUGCUUAGAUAUGACAUAGAAUACCAAUUGCGAAGGCAGCUGGCUACACGAAUAUUGACGCUGAGGCUCGAAAGCGUGGGGAUCAAACAGG
Molecule: ribosomal RNA, 253 nt
Filed under: uncultured bacterium
Lineage: Bacteria
Description: partial 16S ribosomal RNA
Rfam family: Bacterial small subunit ribosomal RNA
Source: RNAcentral